Macadamia integrifolia is the source of this 885-nucleotide long non-coding RNA. RefSeq lists it as uncharacterized. The record is from RefSeq and is a predicted model, not a curated record. The transcript is spliced from 3 exons. Lineage: Eukaryota; Viridiplantae; Streptophyta; Magnoliopsida; Proteales; Proteaceae.
GAGAUGGAAUCUCAUGAGUUUGGAUCCAUUUUUUCAUGUAAAACAUUGAAAAUAUCUUCCAAAAAUUAUUUAAUUAGUUACAGGUUAAUUUUUGAUAAUUUUAUCUAAAUUAUGGAGUUAAUUGAAUAAAUUAUAUUGCAUUUCCUAUAAAGUUAGUAAAACAAAAGCUGCUUCAUAUUUUAUUUUUUUUCAUCCAUAUCAUUGAGGAUUAUUUAUAUAGGUAUAAUUUAACUUUAGUUUUAUGGAAAAUAUUUUCAAUUUUUUUUUUCUUAGGACAAACAUUCUUACAACAACAAUGAGUGUGCAGCUUACAACUACAAAGAGUGCUAACUGCUAAUUAUGGGUUUUUCCCCCUCCUCUAGAGCUCCUGGGUAGUAAAGCAAAGUGUUGGAAAGAAAGCCAUCCUGGUUGGUCAAGCUCUUGAAAUAAACUAUUUUUGGGGGAAGAACUAUUUGGAGCUUGGGAUCGACAUUGGCUCAUCCACAGUUGCAAGAGGUGUGGUUAGUCUUGUUCUUGGAUACCUAAACAAUCCGGUAAUAGAAAUGGCAUUUCUGAUACAGGUGCAAUGAAGUUCAGUAGAAGUUUCAAAGUUCAGGCUAAUUAAGAGAGGUGGAAUUGCAAAAGAUGACAUUGCAAUGUGGACAACAACAACAAUGUAGUUUUGUUUUUUUUUUUUUUGGUAUUGGUGAAUCGUCGAAGUGGUGAACAAUUGAAUGAAGUAUAUGUAUUGACCUAUUGAAAGUAUGAUGAAAGACGAUGAAUUUUUUGAAUAUUAUAGUACACUUUUAAUUUACAUGAAGGUAUUGAAUUCUAGAUGGAUGUGUAUUUUUGUGAAAUGAGCAAUGUAUGAAUGUAAUUACAGGUAAAAAAAAGUAUUGAAUUCUA